UAGGGAAUCUUCCGCAAUGGACGCAAGUCUGACGGAGCAACGCCGCGUGAGUGAAGAAGGAUUUCGGUUCGUAAAACUCUGUUGUUAGAGAAGAACAGCGCAUAGAGUAACUGUUAUGCGUGUGACGGUAUCUAACCAGAAGGCCACGGCUAACUACGUGCCAGCAGCCGCGGUAAUACGUAGGUGGCAAGCGUUGUCCGGAUUUAUUGGGCGUAAAGCGAGCGCAGGCGGUUAGAAAAGUCUGAAGUGAAAGGCAGUGGCUCAACCAUUGUAGGCUUUGGAAACUGUUUAACUUGAGUGCAGAAGGGGAGAGUGGAAUUCCAUGUGUAGCGGUGAAAUGCGUAGAUAUAUGGAGGAACACCGGUGGCGAAAGCGGCUCUCUGGUCUGUAACUGACGCUGAGGCUCGAAAGCGUGGGGAGCGAACAGG
Molecule: ribosomal RNA, 428 nt
Filed under: Bacteroidota bacterium
Lineage: Bacteria; Pseudomonadati; Bacteroidota
Description: Bacteroidetes bacterium partial 16S ribosomal RNA
Rfam family: Bacterial small subunit ribosomal RNA
Source: RNAcentral